CGAGAGUUGAAAAACUCCCAACCCGUUGCCUACCUACCCGUACUUGGUGCUUCGGCAGGCGGCCCCGGGGGACCGGGCCGGUGCCUUCUUGUAAGGUGCCUGCCGAAAGCCGCCACCAUUAACGCUUUGUCAUAUCAGUUGUCAUCCGAGUUCAGAAGCAAAUAAAUCA
Molecule: unclassified non-coding RNA, 169 nt
Filed under: uncultured Ascomycota
Lineage: Eukaryota; Fungi; Ascomycota
Description: sequence contains ITS1
Source: RNAcentral